UUACCUCUGGAGAAUAUCUUGAAUGUUA
Phalacrocorax carbo (great cormorant) is the source of this 28-nucleotide non-coding RNA. NCBI's taxonomy places the organism in Eukaryota, Metazoa, Chordata, Aves, Suliformes, Phalacrocoracidae. The record is from Rfam.